CAGGUCCGUCUUGUGGCCCCUCCCUGCGAACAGAGUCAGACACACACCAGAGUCUGACACCAGGAAGCUUUUUUUAAGACUUGUUGAAUACAUUGUUGUCUUUAGCUUUUAGCUGCACCAAGAAACCUGAGGAUGGAAAUGAAAAGUUUUUCAAAGCAGAGUUCUUUGUGAAAAGCUUUUAUUCAGAUUGACUAUGCGGUCUCCCAGGCAGCAGCAACAGGAAAGGCCUACAGUGGACCCUCUGCCAAGGGGGUCCCAUGCCCAGUUUAGUGGAGCUGUGUACUCAUUGUGCAGGGGAAUCCUGAUGCAGGGAAAUUUGAGAAGACCCAACUAACGUAUGCUCAAGAGGACAAGCUUUAGUUAGUAAAGAUGGUUUGCUGGUGUGUGUGUGUGUGUGUGUGUGUGUGUGUGUGUGUGUGACAUAAAUAAAAGGGAUUAAGAACUCUC
This is a long non-coding RNA of Suricata suricatta (meerkat), 447 nucleotides long. RefSeq lists it as uncharacterized. The record is from RefSeq and is a predicted model, not a curated record. NCBI's taxonomy places the organism in Eukaryota, Metazoa, Chordata, Mammalia, Carnivora, Herpestidae. The transcript has 2 exons.